RNAcentral lists this long non-coding RNA (1424 nucleotides) under Malus domestica (apple). RNAcentral's name for it is "long non-coding RNA (MDOM_LNC009397)". The record is from RNAcentral. Lineage: Eukaryota; Viridiplantae; Streptophyta; Magnoliopsida; Rosales; Rosaceae.
UUGAAUUGUAUUGUUGUCCACUUGGCCACUUGGCCAAUUAUUCAACAGUGAGGAAUGAGAGGUGCGGCAAGGAAGAUAGAGAAUUUUUCUCCAUGCAUUUUCUCUAUGCGUCUUCUCUCUAAUGGAUCUUCUCAGAUGCCUUGUCGUUUAUUGGUUGAUUGGAAAAAUUGUUGUAUUAUUCUCUCUUCCAUGCAUAUUCUGUUUUCUCACAUUUGUUGCAAAAGAAAUCAGGUGGUGGUAUGUUUGGCAAACUAUGGUGUUGAUCAUAUUGGGGUUCAAUGGUGAGAUUCUUGUCCAUUGUGUCGAGUUAUGGGUUUUGCUAUAAUCUUAUAGGAAUUCCAAAUUUUCGUUUCUCUUAGGAGUUGUCUUAAUUGUUUUUUGAUUCUAAUAGUUUUUUACUUCUUGUUAGGAUAUCGUUUCAUGUCCCCUCUAGCUUAUUGUAUAUUUAUUUUUUUCUUUAAUAUAUUCACAAUAAUUCUACGAUAGCAAUAUUGGAGUGGAAGUGAUAUUGUUCUUUUAAUAAAAAGAAAUAGGAGUGAUAAGUAUGAUAGGUUUCUGGUAGAAGUUGAAUGGCUUCAAUCUAAUUAUGCUUGUAAAAUUUUUGGUGAAAAUUAUGUUUGUAAUUUGCAUAUUGAAGAGCUAAUUAAUUUGCAGAGGAAAAUUUUCCCCAUGGAAAACCAGAUACAAAAUUUUGAAAUUUUUGUGGGAGAAAGAAAUGAAGGAGAAGUAAAGGGCCAUCGUUUGAUGUUCCAUGGCUAUCGAAGAGCAUGGACAACAACAACAACAACAAAUACUUAUCUCAUUAAGUGACUUCGGUUGUAUGAAUCUUAAAACGUCACUACGCUCGAUUUUGCGUCAAAUUUUCCGUUAGCUCCAACUUCUCCAUGUCUUUUCUUAAAGUCAAUAUUCCAAGUCUUCAUAGGUCUUUCCCUACUCAUUUUGCCCUAUGAUAAAAGAAAAUAAAUCAAGGUGUAUGGAGGAAGAAAUUAGAGAAAAUUAAAGACAAAUAUGAAUUAUGUUUUCUUUUCGUUGACGUAAAAAAAAUAAGAGUAAAUUACAUUUUCUCCCUUGGAUUUGAGUACAAUUGCAACCUCAUACAAUAUCUUUAAAAUAUUUCAAUUUUAUACACAAACUUUUAUUUUGUUGUAAUUUCAUACAUCAUUUAGUUAAAUCGUUAAUUUGACUGUUUUGUGAUGACGUAACAAAUAUAUGACCCACAUAUUUGAUGAAGUGCCAUAAAAAAAUUUGAUUAUCAAAAAUCAAUUUAAAAAAAAUAGCCCACACGCCAAUCUUCCCCCACACCACUACCCCAUUACUCCCUACUACCAACUUAGCCCACACGUCACAUGCUGAUUACAACCCACUCGUGCCUCUUCCCGUCCCCAUGUCCCUCCAUCAUAUUAAAGGACUAUAUUUGCUUGCAG